Molecule: long non-coding RNA, 3786 nt
Organism: Brassica rapa (field mustard)
Lineage: Eukaryota; Viridiplantae; Streptophyta; Magnoliopsida; Brassicales; Brassicaceae
Source: RefSeq, a predicted model, not a curated record
UCCACGUAAAAUGAAAAGCAAAAACAGUUUAAUUGUCUCAGCCACUAAAACACGAUCUCAACUCCCUACACUAAAACAACUUUAAACGACACUAGAAUCACUCAGAUAACAAAUUUGUUUACAAAUUUUUUUCAAACAGUUUACUUUCUUCCACAACCUAUGCCUGUGUCUUUCCUAUAAUUAUCUUUUUGUAAGAAAGGCUUUUGAUUUUUCUUAUCUUAAAAAGUUUUUGAAGCUGCGGAAGAAGCGAAGUUAUAGAUGGCUUCUGGAAAUUCGCUGGUAUACAUUGGUGGUGCAGACAAGUUCCUAUAGUUGUUUAGCAAAUGAAGGAGUCGUUGUUACCACGUAACGAGUUCUUUUGAGUCUCAGCAUUUAAUUUUCUGUAAUUAUACUCUCCUCUUCUUCUCUAUCGUUCCAUUUUCUUUGUCGUUUUAUUUUUUUGAGUAUAGCAAAGAUCUUUAUUCUAACAGCUUCUUCUCUUAUUCUGAAAAUAACUCUAUAUCAUUCCUUCUGCAUAAGUCAAGUUGAAGGUUUUCUCAGAUUAUACUUCUAUUUUAUAACUUUAUUGUUCACAGCAUAAUGGAAAAUCUGGGUUUUGUUUCGUAAAGUACUAUUAUCAGAGACAUGAAGUUAUUCUUAAUAUUAAAAACUAUAUUCUUCUGGAAAAAGGUAAACACAUUUUCAUUUAUAAUUAUGAUAUCCAAACUGUUUAAAUAGAUGAAACUCUUGUAUAUAGCAAGGCAAUGAAAUUCAACCUUUUUGAAAAAUCUUUUGUGGUAAAACAUGAUAAAAAAAUUGAAAGGGAAAUAGAAAAAAUCAGCUUGCUAUUGAUUUCUAUUUACUAAGUAUUUUAUGUAUAUAUUAUUUAAAGUUUAUUAACUUUUCCAAUCAAGCUAUAAUUUUUUUGCAGAUAUAUAAUUCAGAUAUGAAAAGCAGGUAAAUAUUCAUUUAAUAGAUUUACAUACAUUUAUAGAUUAAACAUGUUCUAUGAAAUUUAUAACUUUAUACAAUGAAUUUUAUAUUCCGAUGUGUUAUUUAGGUUUAGAAAAUAUGUGAAAAAAAUAAAUAAUUUAUUCUGAUAUAUUGAUAAGCUUUACAAUUUUAUGAUUUCUGCAAACAAAAAUAUAAUUUUAGUUAAAAAUAGGAUGAUAGUGAAAUUAAUUGACCCGUGCUUGGCACGGGAGGUAACUAGUAUAUAUAUAUAUACUGAAUAUAAGAAUAAUAAAUUAAAUUAUAAGGAUAAAUUUUACUAUCAGAUUUCUUGUUAUAUUAGUUUAUUAAAAAGAAUAUUAAUAAGAGAGUUAUUCAUCCGACGAACAAAACAUGCAUGGCUGUUGAUGUGGGUCGUAAAUUCGCAAUACCUAACUACUGUCACAUUUUCCCAGUAAGAUUGCACUUCACAGAACACAUACAUAAGUAAAAUCUUAUACAUCGAAAAAGAGGAGGAAAAAUGUGAUACUUAAGAUCACAAAGAAACAAAAGGUCAAAUAUAUAAGUGCGAUCUUAUUAUAUACCUUGGCCUUAUUAACAAAUAAUCACUACAAAAAAAGAAGUGAAUUGUAUCACUUAAUUUAUAUCACAAAAUAAAAUGAUUCUAUUUUAUAUCAUUUAUUUGUAAAUGAGACAAAUAUAUAAAAGUUAGCAUCAUUUAUAAGAAAGUGAUGUUUUAUUAAAUUAUUUGGCAUCAAUUCAGUAAAAUGACAUAUUUUUGUUGUAAGUUGUAUCACUUUAACAAAAAAUGAUACUAUUAUAGAAAGUUAUAUCAGUUAUAUAAAUGAUGUAUUUAUUUUGCUGUUGACAUCACUUAUUAAGGUGAUACUAAAUAAAACCGAUCCUAAUAAUUUUUUUAUAUAUCAUAUAUAAUUAUGUUAAAUAAUUUCAGUUACAAGAACUGAUGUAACAAUCACAAAACCAAAUAAAACAACCCACUAAAACCAAUCCGUUUAAAAACUAUUAUAAACUUCACAAUCCAAAAAUUACGUGAAGUAGUUACUGAUAUAUUCUUUGGGUUUGGUCUGUUUUUCUUUAAUUCAAUUAGUAUUUAUUCUAUAACUGUUUAUCUCAAUCAAAAAUCUUCUUCUCUAUCGUGAUCCUCAUUCAUGAGUUCUUCUCCUUCUCUCAAUUUUAAACUUUUUGUUAGUUUAAAUUUUUCAACAAAUAUUAUUCAUUUCUUUCUUAAAUUGAAUUAACGUCUCCGGUCUCUCUCUCUAUAUAUAUAUUUGUUUUUGUACAUUGUCGAGAUUUCAAAUUGUGAUGACAAUGAGGUGUUUAAAGAAAAAAUGAUGAUAAUAUCUAAGGAAGAAGAUGAUGAGACAUGAUGUGUCUAGGGUUCUUGGUAUUUUGAAGGUAUUAUAAACAGAUUUGAACUCUAGAAUAAAUCUUAGUUAUGUGGCAACUCUUUUUCCUAAAGAUUGGUACUAUUGUUUUGUCAGGUUUCAAUAGCAAUUGGGUUCGAUGCUGGAGUAUUGUCGUCUGGAGUACAUGAAAGCAGAAUCGUGGUCUGAAGAUGAAGAGUACAGGACUGCCUCAUGUUGUCUGAGGUAUAACUUGGAAAAGUAGGAGCAACAAGCUUCACGCCAUGAUGGAAAAUUGAGGAUGGAAAUAAAAUUCAAAGAACAAGAAGAAAAAAGAAGAAUCUAGAUAGAAGAAAAUCAUGAUCAGUUCUUUUUAACUAUUUUUUCUCUAAAUUCAUAUAUUUUACUGAUUUAUCUGUAAAGCUUCUUUAGUUUUUUUUUCUCGUCAAAUUAUACUUUCAGUGGAAAAGAAUAAGAAAUAGUCAAUGCAAUUAAUUUUUAUAUUUUAUUUAUUGACAAAUUUAUUUACCGUAUAAGAAUAAUUAAUAGUAUCUAAAUUUAAAAUUAUAAAAAAUAUAAUCAUUAAAAUAAUUUCCGAAUUUUAAUAUUUUUAAAUUUUAAUAAUUGAUAAAUAAUAAAUAAUUGAAAUCAAUUAUUAUAAUUGAUGUUAACACUAACAUCAUUUUAAAAAAACUGAUGCAAGUUUAAGUAUCAUUUUUUACAAUUGAUGUGUAUUUAACAUCACUUAAAAAUUGAUGCAAAUAUUCAAAUUUUUAACAUCAAUUAUUAAUAAAAUGAUGUAAAUUAUUUGCAUCACCACUUUCAGAGUCAUUUAUAUAAAUGAUACAAAUUUCUUUUACAUCAUUUAUAAGUGACUCAAAAAUAUAAAAUAAAUGAUGUUAGAUCAUCUUUUUUUUGUAGUGAAUGGAAACUUGAAUCAUCGAGCUCCUAUAUAUGGAGUGUGUUUUUCGUACGCGGAUGUGUGUCAAUGUCUCUUUGUACACGAAUCUUUGCGUGUCGAUCAAAUUCUAAUUAUUAGUUACAAAUAUAUAAUUUUUAUAUCAUACCAUAAUUCUACUUUUCUUUUGCCUUCGAUUUUAUUCCUUGUAUAAUUAACCAUUGGGAAAAAUCUCACUUCAUAUACGUGAAGUCAAAAUAACUGUUUUAACAACAGGUCAACGAAAUAAAAUAUCUAUAGGAGUCUGAAUGAAAUAAGAAAGAGAGAUAGAACUAUACAUAUCUUAUAUGACAAAAAGGAUUUUUAUUAUUUUCAGCAUUUACAAUUUACAAAAGCUUCAUGCCUCAAUUCGUGAUCGAGAUUGUAACAUAACGAAACGUGCGUAAGGAUUAGAAACACAAGGGUUUAGGGUAACUUUGGGGGAUUUUCACACUAAAUAUUCCUAAAGGAGAAAAACAAGAACUGGAAAAAGUCAAAUGUAACAAGCACAGAAAGAUAUAGGUCAGAUCACAGGACCCCUUAUUAACUUGCAAU